GCCUUUGUAGUGUAGUGGUCAGCACGCUCGUCGCAUAACCGAGAGGCCCGUGAUUCGAUUCUCGGCGAAGACG
This 73-nucleotide transfer RNA is filed under the name Stegodyphus mimosarum. It matches the Rfam family "tRNA". From Rfam's summary of the family: Transfer RNA (tRNA) molecules are approximately 80 nucleotides in length. Their secondary structure includes four short double-helical elements and three loops (D, anti-codon, and T loops). Lineage: Eukaryota; Metazoa; Arthropoda; Arachnida; Araneae; Eresidae. The record is from Rfam by way of RNAcentral.